This 4836-nucleotide unclassified non-coding RNA is filed under the name Leishmania donovani. RNAcentral's name for it is "gene:LdHU3.02.0780(CDS-product:hypothetical_prote in_conserved)". The record is from RNAcentral. Lineage: Eukaryota; Euglenozoa; Kinetoplastea; Trypanosomatida; Trypanosomatidae.
CGCAGAACACAUCAUAGAGGUGCUCUACGAGUUGGUGGAGACGUGAUACAUGUGGCACGCGCGCGUGUGCGUGUGGGUUUCGAACGCUGACGACUCUUCACGUGCACGUCCCCCUCCGUGUCUUUCUGCAUCGCGCGCCCUCUCCUCAUAUCCAGGUGGCACCACUACCAACCACACCACGUGUGCUCUCGUAAAGGACGCCAUUUUGAACGACCAUGCCACAUCAGCGCGGCGAGGAGGAUAACAGCUUCGCCUGUGCGUGCCCCAACGGUGUGCGCAGUACACCUGCUGGCGGCGCUGACGACCACCGCACCGAGGCAGCGCUGCGACUUGUGCGCGAUGUUCUCCUGACGGAGGACUGGUUUGUAGAGCGGCCCCCGCUCGCUCUCGCCUUCGCGCAUCCGUACAUACGACUGUGGUGCGAGAUGUGGCGCACCGAAUACGUCGGCGACCUUCACGCACCGGCCGCGCACGAGUCGCCUGUGGCGGAGCCGCCGCACAAAACUCGCCGCCCCGCAGCACCGCCUGCCUCGUAUGUGCGCAUUGGGCUGCGCCGCCUCCGCAAUCCGAUUGCCUUCGCAAACCCCGCCUCGGCGGGCGUUGCCGACAUCCUCAGCGGCGGCGUUCCUCUGACGUCGUCGUCUGCGGUGCUUUCAAGCUCACCGAACGCUACGGCAGCGCAGCGGACAGUGCGGUCGCUGGUGGCUCCAGUUCUGACGUAUCCCGAGCCGGCCGACGUGAUGGAGUCAGAGCCCCUCUACGACGCAGCUGCCGUGCGCGGCAUCCCAGUCGUGGACCCAACGGCACCCCUGUUCGCCCUAGAGGCGUACACAGAGCACGUGUUCCGCAUGCCAAUUGGGAUGAGGCUCGGCCAUGUGCGGCUGCUUACCCUGUGGCUGCCGUGCCACUGCCCCUCUCACGCUACUCCAGUGAACCAGCGUGCGCGCCUGGUGAGGGGGCUGUUCAGUCACGUGCCGGCAUCAGUGACGCACGACGCUGCUAUGAAAGCGACUGCUUGCAUCCACACAGCGGAAGCCCAGCAGGCGGUGCGCCACGAACCACAACCGAUGGCGGCACCCGCAGUUUCGUCGCAGCAUGUGAAGGGUUCCUCCGGCGGUGCCACUACUCUCAAUAUUGACGCUGACGCUGGCGCCGCCAAGGCGGACGACAGCGACUCGUCGGCGGAGCAGGGCAGCGCUCACAUGGAGGAAGUGGUAGAAGAUGACGACUGGGAGGCGAUGGCGCUGGAAGAGGAGGCGCUGCUGGAGAAGGAGCCUCUGUCCGUGUCUACAGCAGCGGCGACGGUAGCACCACGCAUGAGUGACUCUCCGGGCCUUCAAGAGGCCCCUCAAGCCCGCACCUGCUUCUCUCUCUUCCCUACUCACCACCCAUCGCUGCCCGCUGCAGCCACCAGCCCCGCCAUCACUGCCUCUAGCGACACCAGCGUUGUUGCCGCUGCACCAGAGCCAUUUGGCGGUGCUUCCGCUGUCAUCGAGGGCGUGUGCGUUGCCCUCCCUCCUCCUUGUGGUUGGUGGCUGCGUCGCGGUGUGCGGCCGUCGUCCGCGUUGCACGGCGCUCCCUUGCCUCUCUACGCCCACUGUAUAGACGCGACGCGGCCGUGGCUGGACUGGCUCGAGGCGACGGCGCGUGGCACCAGCGACGCGCUGCCCGACAAAGACGGCCGCAGCGCCACGCAGACGUUUCUUUGCGGGGUGUCGCUCAGCGGAUGGUUGCCCAAGUAUGUGCAGCCAACCAUCGUCUCACGAGCGGAACUCGCGCAGCGCAGCGUCUCGGUGAAGCUGGAGGACGCCAUCUCCUCCACUCUGCCCUUGCGCGGUCUCCACAUCGAGUCUUCUGUUAGGGCGCUGAAGCGGCUGCUGGGUGGCAGGAGCGGCGAGCGUGGCGACCCUGGUGGCGGCGCGGCACUUCUCGGCACCCUUGUCGCUCUUGACGCGCCGUACCUGCGGGACGCUGAGCCGGAUUUGCUCGCAGGCCGCGAUCGACUGACCGCGAGCGAUGACGGCGAUGCCGGCAGCCUCGCGUCUGCCCUGUGCCGGCUGCGUCGACUGCGCUUCCUGUCCAUGAAUCACGGCCGCGACGUUUUGGCGGAGGCGUUCUCGCCGUCGCCAGCGCAAACAGCCGUCUUCAGCACGUGUGUCGAGGCGCUGCUCCUUCACGGCGUCACUGGCCUCGCUCCGCGCACGCUGGCCUCGGUGGGGCGCUGCUGCGUGUCGUUGCGCACUGUAGAUCUGACCAGCACCAGUGUCACAGAUGAUGAGCUGCGCGCUCUCGUGUACGGUAGGUGGGACACACCGUGCAAAGGCAGCAAGCCAGCGGCUUGCCUAGCGAAGUUGUCUCCACUCGCUUGCCUGGAGGAGGUACGACUGACUGCCUGUCGCAGCCUCACUUGCGUCGAUGCCCUCGCUGCACUCCCACAGUUGCGUCGCCUGGACCUGCGCGCCAGCGGUGUGCGCCAAGUCGCCGACCUUGCAGGGUGCCACCUGCUGGAGGAGGUGGUACUGACACGCUGCGAGCACGUGACGGAGCUGUACCCUCUCUGGCGACUCCCCCGGCUGCGCUGUGUGGAGGCGGACGGCGUCCGCCAACUACAGCAGUAUCGAGCACUCAUGCCGCCCGCCGCCUCUACUGCGGAAGAGGAUGAGGGGGGCGACGAGUGCUUCGUGGCCCCUUUGGCGCGGCUGAACCUGUCUCAGGCCGCCGUGAUUCGCGGGGCCAGCGUUGGCUACCUCGCGCGGCGUCUUCGCGACUUGAGCGGGCAUUUCACGUCGCUGGUGGCGCUGCUCCUUGAUCAUACCGACGCCGACGAUGACACGCUGCGCGCCUUGGCCGGGUUCUCAACGGCGGAGGCGGAGAGCGGCCACUUCGCAGGACGGUGGCUGCCUGUCGCCUCGUCACUGAGGGAGCUCAGUCUCGUCGGCUGCGUUCGCGUGCACCACCUCGGCCCUCUCGGCAUGCUGCCGCAGCUCACCCGCCUGGUGGCCGACCAUUCCGGUGUCGAGCACGUGGACGGCCUUCAGCACAGCCGCAGCCUCGACUCUCUCUAUUUGAGCCACUGCACACGACUGUGGGUCAUCAGCCCCCUCGCCUACGUGACCUCACUGCGAUGCGUGGAUUUGAGCCACACACCGCUCACUGAUGCAGCGUUGCUGCGCUUCGUAUACCCGACUGUGGUGGAGAAGCUGACGGCGCGGCGGCAUCCGCACCUUGGCGAGAUCGUGGUGUCGCUGCAAGCCUGCACCGCCACUCCUGCCCCUCUCGUCCCCUCACAGGUCGAGGAGCUACGUCUCUGUCACUGCAUGUCGCUGCUGCACAUCAGCUGCGUCGCGCACCUUCCACGACUGCGUAGGCUUGACGUGGGCAACACAGCACUGUUUGAUCGUGGAUUCGCGGGCUUCUUUGGCCGCACGAAGGCUCUCCUGUGCACGCAGUCGUGGCCGACUGCCCACCCGGCUGGUGCCGCCGUCGAUGACGACGAGGCGCUGAGAUUGGCGCCACUGCCGGACGAGGCUGCGCUUCUCACCGCUUGGAGAAGGGAUACCCAAACGGGAGCGGCGGUGCCGCGAGACGCGAGUUCCACCUCCCGUGAGACCUCCGCGGACCGCGCUGCUGUCACCGCUGGAGGGCCGCCGCACUCUGUCGAGUUCGACUUCUCCGUCGGCGCCCUGAAUACCCUCACGCAUGUGUGUCUCUCCUACUGCGUGGAGGUGCGUUGCAUUGCCGCCUUCGCCCUCUUCCCUCAACUGGUGUCACUCGACGUCACCGGGACGGCCGUCGACAGCGCCUCCCUCCUGGCCUUUGUGAACGUGCUGCUGGAGGGCUGCGGGAGCGGGGCUUCCGACGUUCCGGUGAUGCGGCUCGAGAUGGAGGGCGACAGCCUGCGCCCGAGGGCGCUUCCGGCACCGCGAACAAGAUCAGUGCCUGCCGUAUCGCUCUCUACGCGGGGCAGCGACGCCGAUGGUGCGGCUGUGGAGCCGUCCCUUCGACGCCGCCGACUAUUUGCGCUCACGACGCUCACGCUGGCGUGGUGCCACUACCUCACGGACGUGCGGUGCUGCGCGGCCGUGCCGUCUCUGCGCCACCUGGACGUGUGCGGAACUCCCGUCGACAAUCUCAGUGUUGCAGCCUUCUCUUCUCGUGUGGCGGACGCAUUGGCAUCGGCGGCGUCGGGGGAGGAGGCGCAGUGGUGGACGCACCAUCGCUGCUCGCUCCUGUCACUGGAUGUUAGCUGUUGCCGCCGUGUCACCGACAUUGCGCCGCUCUUCGCGGCGCCAGUCAACUCAUUGCCUGGCAGCGGCGUCAGCAGCAGGAGGCGAGAGUCUUCGGGCCACUGCCCUCCGCUCUCCUUGAUGGAGCUGCGACUUCGCCACUCCGGUGUGACGUCCACCAAGGAGGAGCUGCGCGCGCUUGACCCCUUCGGCCGCUGCCUGUUUAUGCUGUAAUGUGGGGCGUGUCUGUGUGUGUGCGCGCGCCUGUGCGUGCGUCUCGAUGCCUCUCCCCUCAUGAGAGCCUGCGGGUGUGUCUACGCCGCACCUCUCCCGCCUUCUCCGUUUUUUCUCUGUGACGAUGACGCUCACCCGAGCUCUGCGUCACUCCCUCGCUCACUCGCGUGCUGGGACGUGCGCGCAUCUGCGGCAGUGGUGGCGAUGGGUGCCGCACUGCCCUCACCUCACCACACUGUUCUUUCCGCGUCCCUCACGUGGCACUCAGAGUCAACGCAACGCCGCGCCAACCGUGAGCCUCAGUAAUGCCGUCUCUCCUCCCUCACUAUCCCGCCUGCACUGCCGCACUCUCCUCCACUUGUGGACCAUCUCGCAG